Long non-coding RNA from Manis pentadactyla (Chinese pangolin), 7198 nucleotides. RefSeq lists it as uncharacterized. Lineage: Eukaryota; Metazoa; Chordata; Mammalia; Pholidota; Manidae. The transcript is spliced from 3 exons. The record is from RefSeq and is a predicted model, not a curated record.
UCUUCUGACAAGGAGAAGGGGUGGCCUUCUGCUGCCUGGGUGCCCUGCGCCAGGCUGCUCUCAAGUCAUGUCAGUGUCACCCAGCCACGGUGUCUGCCCAUUUGCCACCAGAAACAGGAACCAGAGUCCUGUGCUUUGUCCUUGUUGAUGCAUCCGUGAGGCUCGGGCUUGAUUUGAUUUUUCAAUCUGGUAAAAUCUGUAGCUCAGAUGUGACUGGGGCCUUUAUCCUACUGAAGAACCCUGCAGAGAUCCUGUGUGCAUGGUGGCUGCGACCCUUGCCACCCGGUCUCGCAGCGGCACGUUUCCUCUCGGAGGAGUAAUGAUCUGAUACAUGUAAGGGCAAGAUCUGGCAAGGAAGCCCGUGGACAGCAGUCCUCAGCCCGUCUGCCUGCACCCUGCUGGGGCAGCUCUGGCGCUGGGCAGUUUUUCCAGUCCCAGCAACCUGCCCCGACCUGGAAAUGGUGCCUUCCAUUCCUGCGGUGAGCUUGGCACCUGGGAGGUGGGGCCUCUGGCAUGUGCAUGCGGCUCACUGUGUUCGUCUGCGCCAUUGCUGGUUGGAAAAUGCAAAGUGGAUGUCCCCUCCCAACACGUGUUAAUUUCUACUUGGGUCAUGUCUUCUGAGGUAAGGCUCUGUGUUCCUGAAAAGUAGCACUUCACCGUGGGGUUGGGGUGCAGUCAGGGCUGCAGGAGCCUUGUGUGGAUUCCGAAGACACCUUGCCAGGUUAGCAGCCCAAUGGAGAAAGCUGUCAGACCAGCCCAGUCCCUGGUCAUGGGAGGUGACAAAGUAGAAGAAAAGGCAGUUUGACUCUCUUUGCUGCAGGCAUGGAGAAGCUCUGUUCUCAGUGGAGCUGUGCUGUGUCCAGGGCCAAAGAGGCCUCAUCUGGACUAAGGCCCAGGUCUGGCCCCGCCGAGGUCUGGCCUGGCUGUCAUGCUCUGUCCUGCAGAACAUUCCUGGCAAUUGAAUGCCUGGAUACUGUAGACAGAGCAUCCUGAAAUUAGAAGGGUACAGAAUUCCCUGCCUCCCUGCCAUAACUGAGAGCAAGCGAUGCUUACCCAAGUUGGACUUGGGGUUCUUUUAGGGUAAGGAAAGCGUGGUCUGCAGCUCUGCCCCCAUGUGCUUUGAGGAACCCUUUCUUUUCUGGUAGAUGUUUGCCAUGGACACAGGCCACAGCGGCACUUUAGAAUUUGCCCCAGACAGGUGGGUCUCGUCCAUCCUGGCUCGUCUUCCUCCGGCCUCGGGUGUUGCGUGUGGAUGAGUGAAGGCGUGAGCUCUCGGGAAGGGCAGAGGCCUGUUGUACCACGAGUCUAUGCGUCUCUUUUUCUGGAACUGCUCCCUGGGUAAAUUACCAUGAUCAGAGCCUCACUCUUAAAUACAGCUUCAAAGUACAUGGUGGGAAAUGCACUUAAUUACUUCACAUGGGCUUUCUCUGCCUGGCAUCUCCCAAAUGCCCUUUGAGAACUGCCGACUAAGGAAAGAAGCAGGCUCUCCUAGAUAGGCAGCCCAUUUCCUCGGCGUCGGCCCCAUUGGCCCGUGUGCCCUGCAGUUCAGGGAAGGUCCCAAAGAAGGAAAGUCCACCUUGUUAGAAGAGGGACCCCAAAGAGGGGAUGCCCCCUCCCUCUUCUGACCAGAAUUAACUUCUAAGGGGGAGUUCAGGGUUGAGCCUGGUUGGUCCCCAGCCCCUGGAAAUCACUAAUUUUGAGGGAAGACCAUGAACUCUGGUCAGAAUAGAGUGCCUUUUCUAGGGACCCAUUUAGCAACCUGAAAGACUUCAGGGCAGCUUGAGGGGGAACUGCUUUAAUGGAGACUUCCCAUUCCUAAAAGGCCGCUCUUCCUCCAAACCAAGAAAGGCACCUUCGUUCUCAGCCGCUGUAAUUCCUGGAGGGGUGGCGCUCUGGACGUGGGUCGGCUCGUGGAGCGGUGAGACCGAAGGUGGCCUGCAUGGGCUCUCAUGACGGCGCCUAUGGCGGCCCCGCUGGUGCCCCCUGGCAGAGCCAGUCCUGGCCCGGGGGCAGAGAGGUCGUUUCUCUUUCCUUUAUUCACAUCUCAUUUUGUGCUUCAAAUAAUUUGGGCCAAUGGCAGUUUGGGAGCCUGGCUGUUUGGGCUGGUGUCCUCCAGGGGUGGUGGACACUGUUGCACCCUGCUGCUCUCCAGAAGCGUGUCCCGCGUGAAUCCGCGUCCCCUGGCUCCUCACUGUAGCUCUGUCCCGGAGCCUGCCCCAGUCAUUCCCAGGGUGAGGCCAGAGUCCUGGCGGGACGCUGGCCCAGCCGCUGCGAGGCAUGUAGCGGAGCAGCCCGUUCUGGGGGCCACUCCCCGGGUGGGGGCCUCUGCCAGUGCUGUCGCUCCACACCAGCUCCUGGCUCCUCCCUGGGGAGGUGGGGUGCGUGGCUGGGGCGGUCCUGCCGGCUCUUCCUGACCAUCUCCAGGUGGGUCAGGGACCUGCAGGGUGAGGGCUGGGGAUUCAUGUCCCGCGUGUUCUGCUUUGAGGGUCCAGUGGGAGUCUGAGGAACCCCUUUAAAUGCACGGACCUCUCCAGCUCGCACCCCCGAGCCCCUCCUGCCAAGCAGUCUGCUCUGAUAGGAAGGGGCCUAGAGGCCAGGCCACCCCUCCAAUCCAUGUGAGGCAGCGUUGGGGGCCUGGGGACCACUGGCGGGGCAAAACCCCAGCACGUGUGUGCCGCCUGAGUGCUGUGGGACUGUCCUGGGUUGCACGACAAAGGGCCACUCGGGUUGGGUGGGGGAGGCUUCAAACAAGGGAAGCUAAGCUUGCUAUCUCCUGGUUCUGGAGGCCGGAGGUCCAGGAUGAGGGCGUGGGCAGGGAUGAGCCCCCUCUGGGGCUCGGAGGGAGGAGCCUCCUUGUCCCCACCCCUGGGCUCCCCCGAGUCCUCGGGCUCCUGGCGCACCCCUCCGGCCUCUGCCUGCCUCGGCACCAGGUCCCCUCCAGUCUUGCACUUUCUCUAUCUCUUGUAAGACGCUUGUCACAGGAUUCAGGGCCCAGCUGGAUGACCCAGCCAGACCUCACCCGGAGACCCUUCACUCAGUGACCUCUGUGAACCCCUAUUCCAAACGGGGUCACAUUCUGAGGUUCUGAAUGGAAUUAUCUUUGUGGGGUGGGGACUGUCAGCCCACUGCAACCUCCGCUUGUCACCACAUCUCCCUCUUCUGGCUGACCUCCCGCCUCCCUUAUAAGGACCCUGUGAGAACACAGGACCGACCAGGGCCACCCCCCAUCUCGAGGUCCUUAACCUCAUCACAUCUACAGAGUCCCUUUUGCCACAUGAGGUCACACAGGGCAUGGGCAUCUUUGGGGGCCACUGUUCUGACAACGUAGGUGUGUCCCAGCAGAUGGGAUAUGACUUUCUGACUUACUCAUUUUAACAGAUUUCAUUAGAAAAACAGCUGGAAGAGAGUAGAAUCCAGACCUUCGGGUUGAGUGGCUGCUUCAGAUCUAAAGCAGGAAAUUCUUUGCCUUUUCUGUGUUCAGCUUCCCAUGAAACUACUUAUUUGGUCCCUUGUAUCCUUUGUGCAGUUGGCAGCCAAAUGCCAGGCCUGGGUGUGGCCUCACCUGCCACUCAGGUGGGGUGUCCAUCAGGAAGCUAUUCCUGCAGCUUUGCCUCCUGAAAGCCUCGCCCCCCAGGAGUCAGAAGACAGCUUUGGAUCUCAGCGGGGUGUGCUGAGGAGGGGAGGCCGCUGCCCCCACACUUACCGCCCAACAGGGGCAGCUUGCCGGUUGCCGAGGCAGCUCUCCCCCUUUGGGUCGGUCUUGCAGGGCGCUUGCCUAGACCACAGAGGGCCUGCCUCUCUUACACCCUCACCCCUUGCACCCCCAUUCCAGUGCCACCCCCACCCCCACAUUCUUUAAUGCUGGUGACCGGUCCCUUCUCUGCUCUCAGCCUCAGUGGCGGCCCAGGAUGUGUCAAGUUCAACCUGAGCCCCUCCACCUGGCAUUCGAAGUCUGAUAGGGCCCUUCCCACUUCCCUGCCAUGUGCCAGCCAGGUAUGGGGGCCCCGGCAGGUGUGCACUGAGUUAAACUUGCGCCAGGCAGUCGAGGGGAAGGAAGGAGCACUUUCUGAGGCUGGACUGUGUUAGAUUGGUGUCACCAACCCUGUGACUCAUCGGAAAAUGGUGACACACUGAUCACCUGCCUCACAGGCUUGUCUCCCAGCAGAGGUGUCCUGAGUCCUGGGCUCCAGGUGGUGGGGCCAGCCGGCUGCGGUGGGUCCCCCGGCAGCGUGAGUGUCGUGGGUGUUACUCAGGGCAAGCCGGUGAAGCUUCAAAACAUGAAUCUACUUUUCCAGGCCACCUGCUUCAGUUUGGAUACCGCUUGCCUUGUUUGCUGUUUUGUUGAGAUGUUAAAAUGCCAGGGCAGCUGUUAGGAAAGUUAAAGGGGAAAAAUAGUUCCCUUUGAUAUAAUGGUUCUGGAAGCCUUGGGUAGGAAAACCUAGGACUGACCUUUUCUUGUGUAGAAGCAAUCACCCCAGGUAUCAGGGUGGAAAAUGUGGAUCUUCUAGAAAAUGCUUUGGGGUGUGUUAUGUAAGAAAUACCCGUUACUUCGCUGUUUUCAUGUUUUUCUUCAGCAGAUUCUCUGCCAUCACUCUUUUUGGAGCUUAAAUGCUUAAAGUUUGAAUUUCUUGGCAACUUCUCGGCCUUGGCUUGAACAACAUGCAGCCGCCUCUGCCGCCAGCACCGGCGUCAGCACCGGCGUCACUCGGCAGUGAAGAGCUUUGACCCUGCUAAUCAAACACAGUGCUGCCCAUCUGUGGUGUUUGCAUGGGACCACCAGAGUGCCUGCGGCUGCCCCCACCCCCAGGCUCCCAGAGGCGCCUGCUUUGUGGCCUGUCCUCCGUCUUCAGAGUGAGCUGAGUUGCAUCUCGGACCUGGCUUCCGCGCCGCAUCCCCCUGACUCCUCCCACCUCACUCAUCCAUUUACAGGGACCCCUGUGCUGACAUCGGGCCCACCUGGAUAAUCCAGGCCAACCCCCCCAUCUCUAGGCCCUUUACCCCAUCACACCUGUAAAGCCCCUUUGCCACAUAGGGCUGCGAAGUCGCAGGUUCCGGGCUCAGGAUGAGGACGUCCCCAGGGCCUGCUGUCUGCCUGCCUAGCCGUGAGUUAAUCCCGUCCAGUGCAGAGAAGUGGUGGGCCUCCUGCCCACUGCUGAGCUCUGCCUUUUCCCUGUGCUGUGUCUUACCCUCCGAACCCUGGGGAGUCGGUGCUGGCAGAGAACCCAGGGGAGCAAGGAGCUCCUGAGGCCUCAGGCUUCCAGGCGGCGUGAGGUGAAGCGCCCCCCACCUGUCCCAACGCCUUGGCGUGAUACUGGGUGCCUCUGAGGCUUGGGGGGUUAGCGCUGAGGGAUAUGGGCAGUCAGCCUCUUGGCUUAUCCUGGCCCCUUAUCCCCGAGUGUCUGCACCGGAACCUGGGCCCGCACUGGGCACGGCUGGGUCCCCGCCUCUGGGACCAGGCUCGUAGCCUGGGGUGGGGGCUGUGGCAAGGCCCUCCUCUGCAGGUUGGCCACGGACGCAUCCCGGUGCCCAGUCGGCACAACCACAAGGAAGGCGAGGCUUUUUCAGGCUCUCUUGCCCCGUGUUCCUCAUAAGCUGAAAAGGUGAAAACGCCCUUGCCGACCCGAUAGCCCUUCCUGUUCACCCAGGCGGCGGCGGCUGCUUGCCAGUGCAAGUGUUCCUGCUGCAGGAAAAGACAAGAAGGCAGUGGGUUGUUUUAAAUGUCACUUACUGUGGCCGUGGGGGCAGGAGGAUGCUCCUCGCCGGGGCACUAACAGUGCUGCAUGGGCACGUGCUUCCCCUGGGUUUGAGGAGCCUUUUCCCAGAGGGCUGUUGGCAGAAGGGCACUCAGACCCCACCAGGUGACGUGGUUAAUGUGGGGAAGCGACUGCAGCUUGGCCGUGUGUACAGCCUUACCUGCCCGCGUCUCAGGGCCUCCCGGGAGGUGGCUGCAGUGCCCACUCACAGACAGGAAACCGGGCACCGUGAGGGAACUGGGAGCCAUCCUGGGGCCUCGGAGAGCCUGCCUUUCAUGGAGACACAGUCGGGAAUGUCUGGCUAAAUCAGGGCUUCAUCUGGCUGUUCCCACCUCAGAGGUUCAGAGAACCCGGUGCUGUCCCCCUGUGGCUUCCCUCCCGCAGACCACGGGAGUGGUCCUGACACCUGGAGCCUGUCCUGAGUGGACAUGUGCCACCUAACACCUGGGGGAGGAGCCCUUUUCCACUUCAGCUCGUCGCAACCGCUCCUAAAUAAGCAAACCGUCUUCCGGUGGAUUUGGACAUGUGACCUGGUGGCAAAGUCCCCAGACAGGGUCUUAGGGGCUUUGGGCUGCUCAGCCAAGGCCCAGUGUGUCCCCACUGCCCUGGAGUACCUGUGAGCACACGGCUGCCACAGCCUGGUGGGUCAGCAGUUUCUGAGACAAACUGAAGUGAGCAAGAAUGCAGGCUGGGCUUGGGCUGGGGGUGCCCCCUCAGACAGCCCCCGAGGGCCCCAGGCCCAGGACCCAUGAGGUGAGCCACCUACACCUACCCUUCCAUGGUCCUGCCCCCAGCCUUGGGGGAGGGCAGAACGGUCUAGCACCCCAUCCCAUGAGGUCUUCGCCUUCAUGAGAGCCCCAUCCCAUGGGGGGGUCACACACUGGGCCUUCAGCCUCGCCCAGCCUCCAGGUGGUGCAGGGGCCUGUGGGCACCUGGUCCAGGCUCGGACACAAAGAAACAGCAGCACAAAGCAGAGCCGUGAGGAGCUGGUGGGAGGGCAUCACCUGUCUGAGCUGAGCCAUGGGGCUGAUGAUGUCCACCAGUGGCCCCACACAUGAUGGCCACUGUCCUCACCACCUUCCAGCUAUGCGUGCCUGCUCAGGGCAGGGCCACGGUGCUGUGGUUUGGCUGUGGAGAACCCUCCCCAGUGACCUCUGGCCACGUGAGCUGGGGGGUGGUCCCUAGAGCCCAGAUGCCAUUUGUUCUGCUAAAAGUCGCACGUGCCAGGCACACUCAGCCACAGAACAGGAUCACCUUUCUGAAGAUGUGUGUCAUUCAAAACAGGCUUUCCAUUUGGGGCCCACAGGGCACUUCAGGGGUCUACUGACCCCCUAAAGUCAUAAGCAAAAUUCAUCUGUUACAUUUUUCUAGGAGAGAGCCCAGGGCAGUAAGUCAGGAUUGCAGGAAAUGUGUUUGUGCCUCCCCUAGUCUACCCUGCGUGCCCU